GCAGAGGUGGCGGAGUGGUCAAACGCGCCAGCCUUGAGAGCUGGAGCCUUGCGCUACACGAGUUCGAAUCUCGUCCUCUGCG
This 82-nucleotide transfer RNA is filed under the name archaeon. Its description in RNAcentral is "tRNA-Ser". It matches the Rfam family "tRNA". From Rfam's summary of the family: Transfer RNA (tRNA) molecules are approximately 80 nucleotides in length. The record is from RNAcentral. RNAcentral also lists the same sequence under 1 other name.